Pelobates cultripes (western spadefoot toad) is the source of this 168-nucleotide non-coding RNA. The record is from the annotation of a GenBank genome assembly. NCBI's taxonomy places the organism in Eukaryota, Metazoa, Chordata, Amphibia, Anura, Pelobatidae.
GCAGACACACUCCAGCCAAUCAGCAGCAGACCCUCCCUCCCAGACCCUCCCACCUCCUGGACAGCUCACUAAGAAUGCAGCUUCACAAUGAAUGUAAAAUGGAUGCUGUCCAGGAGGUGGGAGGGUCUGGGAGGGAGGGUCUGCUGCUGAUUGGCUGGAAUGUGUCUG